Molecule: ribosomal RNA, 339 nt
Filed under: uncultured Sphingobacteriales bacterium
Lineage: Bacteria; Pseudomonadati; Bacteroidota; Sphingobacteriia; Sphingobacteriales
Description: bacterial SSU rRNA
Rfam family: Bacterial small subunit ribosomal RNA
Source: RNAcentral
CUGCAUGGUGUCGUCAGCUCGUGCCGUGAGGUGUCGGGUAAGUCCCAUAACGAGCGCAACCCUAUCAUUAGUUGCCAUCAGGUCAAGCUGGGGACUCUAAUGAAACUGCCUACGCAAGUAGUGAGGAAGGUGGGGAUGACGUCAAAUCAGCACGGCCCUUACGUCCAGGGCUACACACGUGCUACAAUGGCCGGUACAAAGGGCAGCUACCUGGUGACAGGAUGCUAAUCUCAAAAGCCGGUCUCAGUUCGGAUCGGAGUCUGCAACCCGACUCCGUGAAGCUGGAAUCGCUGGUAAUCGCGCAUCAGCCAUGGCGCGGUGAAUACGUUCCCGGGCCUU